This 256-nucleotide ribosomal RNA is filed under the name uncultured bacterium. Its description in RNAcentral is "partial 16S ribosomal RNA". It matches the Rfam family "Bacterial small subunit ribosomal RNA", at positions 75 to 334 of the family's 1533-position model. The record is from RNAcentral.
CAAUAUAAGUGGUGGCGACCGGCGCACGGGUGAGUAACACGUAUCCAACCUGCCGAUAACUCGGGGAUAGCCUUUCGAAAGAAAGAUUAAUACCCGAUGGUAUAAUAAAACCGCAUGGUUUAAUUAUUAAAGAAUUUCGGUUAUCGAUGGGGAUGCGUUCCAUUAGGCAGUUGGUGAGGUAACGGCUCACCAAACCUUCGAUGGAUAGGGGUUCUGAGAGGAAGGUCCCCCACAUUGGAACUGAGACACGGUCCAA